UGGACUGUAGUUCAGUGGUAGAGCAUCUGUUUUGCAUGCAGAACAUCCCAGAUUCAAUCCCCAGCCUCUCCAG
Podarcis lilfordi (Lilford's wall lizard) is the source of this 73-nucleotide non-coding RNA. NCBI's taxonomy places the organism in Eukaryota, Metazoa, Chordata, Lepidosauria, Squamata, Lacertidae. The record is from the annotation of a GenBank genome assembly.